RNAcentral lists this transfer RNA (88 nucleotides) under Pleionea mediterranea. Its description in RNAcentral is "Alcanivoracaceae bacterium MOLA 115 tRNA". It matches the Rfam family "tRNA". Rfam says of the family: Transfer RNA (tRNA) molecules are approximately 80 nucleotides in length. Lineage: Bacteria; Pseudomonadati; Pseudomonadota; Gammaproteobacteria; Oceanospirillales; Pleioneaceae. The record is from Rfam by way of RNAcentral.
GGUGAGAUGGCCGAGUGGUUGAAGGCGCACGCCUGGAAAGCGUGUAUAGGUUAAUAGCUUAUCGAGGGUUCGAAUCCCUCUCUCACCG